This 374-nucleotide ribosomal RNA is filed under the name uncultured eukaryote. RNAcentral describes it as "partial 18S ribosomal RNA". It matches the Rfam family "Eukaryotic small subunit ribosomal RNA", at positions 592 to 976 of the family's 1831-position model. The record is from RNAcentral.
CAAUAGCGUAUAUUAAAGUUGUUGCAGUUAAAAAGCUCGUAGUUGGAUUUCUGGGAGAGUGCUGAUGUCGGCUGAAUGCUUGUGCAGAUGCGCUCUUCCAUCCUUCUGUUAACGCUUCUUGGUAUUCAUUUACUGGUUUCGGGCUCAGAUAUUUUACCUUGAGAAAAUUAGAGUGUUUCAGGCAGGCUUGCGCCGGAAUACAUUAGCAUGGAAUAAUAGAAUAGGACUUUUGUCUCUUUUGUUGGUUUGAGGGACUGAAGUAAUGAUUAAUAGGGAUAGUUGGGGGCAUUAGUAUUUAAUUGUCAGAGGUGAAAUUCUCGGAUUUGUUAAAGACUAACCUAUGCGAAAGCAUUUGCCAAGGAUGUUUUCAUUAA